RNAcentral lists this ribosomal RNA (2776 nucleotides) under Vibrio parahaemolyticus. Its description in RNAcentral is "partial 23S ribosomal RNA". It matches the Rfam family "Bacterial large subunit ribosomal RNA". The record is from RNAcentral. Lineage: Bacteria; Pseudomonadati; Pseudomonadota; Gammaproteobacteria; Vibrionales; Vibrionaceae.
GGCGAACCGGGGGAACUGAAACAUCUAAGUACCCCGAGGAAAAGAAAUCAACCGAGAUUCCGAAAGUAGCGGCGAGCGAAAUUGGACUAGCCCUUAAGCUUUACACGCGUUAGACGAACGGUCUGGAAAGUCCGACGAUACAGGGUGAUAGUCCCGUAGUUGACGACGUGUGUUCAGUGAAAUCGAGUAGGGCGGGACACGUGAUAUCCUGUCUGAAUAUGGGGGGACCAUCCUCCAAGGCUAAAUACUACUGACUGACCGAUAGUGAACCAGUACCGUGAGGGAAAGGCGAAAAGAACCCCUGUGAGGGGAGUGAAAUAGAACCUGAAACCGUGUACGUACAAGCAGUAGGAGCAGGCUUUGUCCUGUGACUGCGUACCUUUUGUAUAAUGGGUCAGCGACUUAUAUUCAGUGGCAAGGUUAACCAUCUAGGGGAGCCGUAGGGAAACCGAGUCUUAACUGGGCGUUCAGUCUCUGGAUAUAGACCCGAAACCAGGUGAUCUAGCCAUGGGCAGGUUGAAGGUUGAGUAACAUCAACUGGAGGACCGAACCGACUAAUGUUGAAAAAUUAGCGGAUGACUUGUGGCUAGGGGUGAAAGGCCAAUCAAACCUGGAGAUAGCUGGUUCUCCCCGAAAGCUAUUUAGGUAGCGCCUCGGACGAAUACUACUGGGGGUAGAGCACUGUUAAGGCUAGGGGGUCAUCCCGACUUACCAACCCUUUGCAAACUCCGAAUACCAGUAAGUACUAUCCGGGAGACACACGGCGGGUGCUAACGUCCGUCGUGGAGAGGGAAACAACCCAGACCGCCAGCUAAGGUCCCAAAUUACUACUAAGUGGGAAACGAUGUGGGAAGGCUCAGACAGCCAGGAUGUUGGCUUAGAAGCAGCCAUCAUUUAAAGAAAGCGUAAUAGCUCACUGGUCGAGUCGGCCUGCGCGGAAGAUGUAACGGGGCUAAGUAGUAAACCGAAGCUGCGGCAAUGUGCUUUUGCACAUUGGGUAGGGGAGCGUUCUGUAAGCGGUUGAAGGUGUGUGGUAACGCAUGCUGGACGUAUCAGAAGUGCGAAUGCUGACAUGAGUAACGAUAAAGGGGGUGAAAAACCUCCUCGCCGGAAGACCAAGGGUUCCUGUCCAACGUUAAUCGGGGCAGGGUAAGUCGACCCCUAAGGCGAGGCCGAAAGGCGUAGUCGAUGGGAAACGGGUUAAUAUUCCCGUACUUCUUACAAUUGCGAUGGGGGGACGGAGAAGGCUAGGUGGGCCUGGCGACGGUUGUCCAGGUUCAAGUGCGUAGGCUUAAGNNNNNNNNNNNNNNNNNNNNNNNNNNNNNNNNNNNNNNNNNNNNNNNNNNNNNNNNNNNNNNNNNNNNNNNNNNNNNNNNNNNNNNNNNNNNNNNNAUGUGAAGUCAUUGAUGCCAUGCUUCCAGGAAAAGCCUCUAAGCUUCAGAUUGUAAGGAAUCGUACCCCAAACCGACACAGGUGGUCGGGUAGAGAAUACCAAGGCGCUUGAGAGAACUCGGGUGAAGGAACUAGGCAAAAUGGUACCGUAACUUCGGGAGAAGGUACGCUCUCGACGGUGAAGUCCCUCGCGGAUGGAGCUAUUGAGAGUCGCAGAUACCAGGUGGCUGCAACUGUUUAUUAAAAACACAGCACUGUGCAAAAUCGUAAGAUGACGUAUACGGUGUGACGCCUGCCCGGUGCCGGAAGGUUAAUUGAUGGGGUUAGACUUCGGUCGAAGCUCUUGAUCGAAGCCCCGGUAAACGGCGGCCGUAACUAUAACGGUCCUAAGGUAGCGAAAUUCCUUGUCGGGUAAGUUCCGACCUGCACGAAUGGCGUAAUGAUGGCCACGCUGUCUCCACCCGAGACUCAGUGAAAUUGAAAUCGCUGUGAAGAUGCAGUGUACCCGCGGCUAGACGGAAAGACCCCGUGAACCUUUACUACAGCUUGGCACUGAACAUUGACCCUACAUGUGUAGGAUAGGUGGGAGGCUUUGAAGCACGUACGCCAGUAUGUGUGGAGCCGUCCUUGAAAUACCACCCUUGUAGUGUUGAUGUUCUAACGUCGACCCCUUAUCGGGGUUGCGGACAGUGCCUGGUGGGUAGUUUGACUGGGGCGGUCUCCUCCCAAAGAGUAACGGAGGAGCACGAAGGUGGGCUAAUCACGGUUGGACAUCGUGAGGUUAGUGCAAUGGCAUAAGCCCGCUUGACUGCGAGAAUGACAAUUCGAGCAGGUGCGAAAGCAGGUCAUAGUGAUCCGGUGGUUCUGAAUGGAAGGGCCAUCGCUCAACGGAUAAAAGGUACUCCGGGGAUAACAGGCUGAUACCGCCCAAGAGUUCAUAUCGACGGCGGUGUUUGGCACCUCGAUGUCGGCUCAUCACAUCCUGGGGCUGAAGUCGGUCCCAAGGGUAUGGCUGUUCGCCAUUUAAAGUGGUACGCGAGCUGGGUUUAGAACGUCGUGAGACAGUUCGGUCCCUAUCUGCCGUGGGCGUUGGAAGAUUGAAGGGGGCUGCUCCUAGUACGAGAGGACCGGAGUGGACGAACCUCUGGUGUUCGGGUUGUGUCGCCAGACGCAUUGCCCGGUAGCUAAGUUCGGAAUCGAUAACCGCUGAAAGCAUCUAAGCGGGAAGCGAGCCCUGAGAUGAGUCUUCCCUGAUACUUUAAGUAUCCUAAAGGGUUGUCGGAGACUACGACGUUGAUAGGUCAGGUGUGUAAGUGCUGUGAGGCAUUGAGCUAACUGAUACUAAUUGCCCGUGAGGCUUAACCAUACAACACCCAAGGGGUUU